GUACACUCCUGCGGGAGGCAGCAGUGGGGAAUUUUGGACAAUGGGCGAAAGCCUGAUCCAGCAAUGCCGCGUGAGUGAAGAAGGCCUUCGGGUUGUAAAGCUCUUUUGUCAGGGAAGAAACGGUGAGAGCUAAUAUCUUUUGCUAAUGACGGUACCUGAAGAAUAAGCACCGGCUAACUACGUGCCAGCAGCCGCGGUAAUACGUAGGGUGCAAGCGUUAAUCGGAAUUACUGGGCGUAAAGCGUGCGCAGGCGGUUUUGUAAGUCUGAUGUGAAAUCCCCGGGCUCAACCUGGGAAUUGCAUUGGAGACUGCAAGGCUAGAAUCUGGCAGAGGGGGGUAGAAUUCCACGUGUAGCAGUGAAAUGCGUAGAUAUGUGGAGGAACACCGAUGGCGAAGGCAGCCCCCUGGGUCAAGAUUGACGCUCAUGCACGAAAGCGUGGGGAGCAAACAGGAUUAGAAACCCCUGUAGUCCCAUGA
This 478-nucleotide ribosomal RNA is filed under the name uncultured organism. Its description in RNAcentral is "partial 16S ribosomal RNA". It matches the Rfam family "Bacterial small subunit ribosomal RNA", at positions 331 to 800 of the family's 1533-position model. The record is from RNAcentral.